RNAcentral lists this ribosomal RNA (381 nucleotides) under uncultured bacterium. RNAcentral describes it as "bacterial SSU rRNA". It matches the Rfam family "Bacterial small subunit ribosomal RNA", at positions 27 to 400 of the family's 1533-position model. The record is from RNAcentral.
GAAUGAACGCUGGCGGCGCGCCUAAUACAUGCAAGUCGAGCGAGAAGACGUAGCAAUACGUUUGUAAAGCGGCGAACGGGUGAGGAAUACAUGGGUAACCUACCCUCGAGUGGGGAAUAACCAGCCGAAAGGUUAGCUAAUACCGCGUACGCUUCUUGGACUUCGGUUCAGGGAGGAAAGCGAUGCCGAGGGUAUCGCGCUCUUGGAUGGGCUCAUGUCCUAUCAGCUUGUGAUGAGGUAACGGCUCACCAAGGCUUCGACGGGUAGCUGGUCUGAGAGGACGAUCAGCCACACUGGCACUGCGACACGGGCCAGACUCCUACGGGAGGCAGCAGUAAGGAAUAUUGCGCAAUGGGCGAAAGCCUGACGCAGCGACGCCGC